Molecule: non-coding RNA, 24 nt
Filed under: Arabidopsis thaliana (thale cress)
Lineage: Eukaryota; Viridiplantae; Streptophyta; Magnoliopsida; Brassicales; Brassicaceae
Source: RNAcentral
AGCUGCGACUUCAGAAGCUGUUGG